AAGUAAUCUCUAUAUACUUGCCACUAAUGUUUCAGAAACGGAAUGUUAUUUAUCAAAAUUUCCACCGUCCCCCCGCUCAAAAUGAUUCAGUCACAAAGGGGAGCUGAGGUCGGACUCUUAGGAAUAUCAUUGGUAAAAGAAAAAAAAAUACUCACCUAUGCAGCCCUGCCCCAACCUCAAGAAUGAAAGCAGGGAGAAAAAUAAAUCUGAUCUAAGGAAUGUGGUAUUUUAGAACAUAACAGCAAGCUCCUUCUCAGUCAUCUCAAAUACAUGGUCUCUUGCAUCUGUGAGAGCUGUCUGUCCUAAUUUGGUGAGGAAGUUACUGGCAAGAUUUAAAGAUGUGAGUCUAACAUCUUCAUUUGCUUUAAGUGCUUGAGCGAUAGAAAAAGCUCCUUCAUCUCUAAUUUCAUUGAACCCUAAAUUGAGUGUCAUCAAAGAUUCAUUGACUACUUUCAAACUCCGAGCAAGGCAGAUUGCACCCUCGUCUCUAAGUCCAUUGGCUCGCAAGUCUAGAGUUGAUAUGGUACUAUUGUACUUCAACAUAUCGGCAAAAUGUUCUGCACCUUUGGCUCCGAUCUGACACCAACCAAGCAUGAGAUCUUUCACAUUUCCAUGAAACUUGAGUACCUCUGCUAAUGCCAUUGCCCCCUCUGGUCCAAUGGGGUUGUAACCAAGUUCUAAGGAGGUAAUGACAGAAUUAUCUUUCAGAACUUCUGCUAUGGCACUAAUACCCUUAGCAUGUAUGUCAUUGCCCCCAAGAUCAACAUUAGUUAUCGAGCGGUUCUCCUUCAAAGCUUCUGCAAUCUUUUCAGCUCCCUCAUCUUUAAUGUCAUUCAUAUAGAGAUUCAACCACAGUAAGCUUUUGCUUUUUUUGACGUAUUCGGCAACAUGAAAUGCUCCUCUUGCAGUAAUUGAAUUGUUGGCAAGGUCAAGUAAGACAAGUUUCCCUUUACGCAAAGACAGGCCAGAGAUUAAUGCCCGUACUCCUUCAUCGCCAACAGAGUUCCCCUGCAAAUAAAGUUCCCUCAAGGACUUAUUGCUCUCCAAGCCUUUAGCCAGUGCUGCAGCCCCUAAAGCACCACCAUAAUUGCCGUUGAGAUGCAAGGAUUGUAAAGUUUUAUUCUCAAGAAGUGAUCCAGCAAGACCUGAAAAUCCAGAAUAGUCAAUCAGAUUAUUGUUUAGUUCAAGAACACGCAAGGUUGAAUUUUUUUUCAGCAUUUCACCGAUGGCUUUGGCUCCCUCAUCUCCUAAGCCAGUGCUGUUCAACUGGAGCUUUUGAAUACCAGAGUUAUUUGCCAGUAUAUCACAUAGACACUUGGCUCCUUCAUCCCCAAUAGCAUUUCCAGAUAGGUUAAGAGUCUUUAGAGCAAUAUUUGAUUGCAAUAUACCAUCAAAGGCCUUCAAUCCAUCUGCAGUUAUUCCAUUAGCAGCAAAGUUUACUUCCUCAGCUGUCUGAUUAUAUGCUAAACUCUCUGCUAGGAAAAAGAGCCCCUCGUCUCCAAAGUUACGACCUGACAUGUCAACAAUGCUGAAAGAUCUAAGCUCUUUAGCAAAGUCAUUAAGCCUCAGCUUGGAUUCUCUUUCAAUCUUUGCACCAAAACCAGGCAACAAGUUUGUCCCAGCGGCAAUGGACCACUUCAAUCCCUGAGUAGACUUGCUUUCUUCUGAUGUAGUAUUGGCUGGUUUGGGUAGAAGAAUUUUCUCCACCAGCUUCCACAAAACAAAAGAGAUAACCACAAAAGCACCAGCGGGCACAACAAACGAAACAAUUCUGUCAACAGGUAAUGCUGGCGUUUGAGCUUGUGAUUCCUUGUAAACUCUCCGAGUACUCAUCGAACGUCUCGAACCAGUACUAGACGACGAAGCAGCUCUAACAGUUACACGUCUCAAUUGCACGCAUUUUCUUCUUCUACUACUUAUACUAAUCGGCGAAAUAUGAAUCAAACAAUAACUGGAUGAACUACUCAACGAUUUCUGCAAUCCGUAUCCAACUUUUCUACCAUUAAAUUCAAAAUUCACCGUCGGAUGAGAACACAGAGAGAAUGUAGAAGAUGAGCCCAUGGAGAGACUCAAUGAGUGAGUGAGACUGUGAGA
Molecule: unclassified non-coding RNA, 2094 nt
Filed under: Hevea brasiliensis (rubber tree)
Lineage: Eukaryota; Viridiplantae; Streptophyta; Magnoliopsida; Malpighiales; Euphorbiaceae
Source: RNAcentral